Molecule: long non-coding RNA, 1955 nt
Filed under: Mytilus galloprovincialis (Mediterranean mussel)
Lineage: Eukaryota; Metazoa; Mollusca; Bivalvia; Mytilida; Mytilidae
Source: RNAcentral
AUCGUAGAACCAUCGGCCACUUUUUCUAGCCUUCGGGGACAACUUCGGGAAGGGUUCUAAAUUUUUUAACAUGUUAAAAAAUCCCCGAAGGUACGUCCGAUGUUGAUGGUUCGUAUUGAGUUCGUAUCACCAUCCUCACCAUCGUAAUGUCACCGGGAAUGCAUCUUUGAACAUCGUAUUGCAUUCGUGUUUCCAUCGUUUCCAUCGGGCAGUUUUGACAUUACGAUGUCUACACGAAUGAAUCACGAAGCUACCCGAAGGUCUUACGAUGACAACACGACUUCAUGAAGACCUCGUAAUCCCGUCGUGUUGCCAUCGAAUAAAAGUACGAAGGCGACAAGAUGGACCUACGACGGCAAUAAAUCCAGCUAAAUGUAAGUUAAUUUUCGCUCUAAAAUACAUUUAAAGUGCCAUGCGCGAUAUGCACUGGUCAGUCUAAUACGACAGUUAAGAAAGACAUUCACAAAACAUGGAGCUCAUAUCAUAUUCUAUGAGAACAAGAAAGGCGACAGCGUUGUUUCUAUUAAUUCAAAUGGAACAAGAAGAGCAGCUAUUACAGGCACCACAUUUUUAAUGUUAUUUCGAAUAGACAGAAAAAAUAUUUCAAUCAUUUCUUAUAAUUUAAUUCUAAAUUCCAUUUUAAACCGUAGAAAACCAUAAAAAAAACGUUGAUAACGUCACGGUCACAUGACUAAAUUAUGUCUAUGGGCUGAUAACAAAAUAACGUCAGCCAAUCAGAAGACGCGUUACAUCCAAAAUUAAAUUAUUGCCAUAUAACUUUAACCAUAAAGUUUGUGACAUACAAAAUAAGCAAAGAAAUUAAUGUAUGAAGCAAAAUUUUAAGAAUAUAAAGUUAUAUAUAUCUUUUUCCAUUGACAUACGGACUUACAUUUUAGCAAUUAAUCGACGGUCUGUGAUUAUUAUUUUUUACAUGAUAAAUUUGUAAUAAUUUUUCUGAUAUUGUCAUAUUCCAUCUCACGAAAAAAAUCUACAGAAAAUGUUUGAUUAUUUAAACCCCUGCAAUGGGCUGAUAAAUGGAUUCAAUUUUCGCUAGGCAGCGGUAAUCCAGGCGCGAACACCACAGUCCCACGGAACCCUUUAUGAAUUUUCAUAAUGCACCUGAACAUCUAUAAAAAUUAAUCAUUUCACAUUCAUUAACGUCAUUUGCACAAAAGGGGUUUUGUUUGAGUUACUGCUUUGCGCUACGGUUCCUUAUAAACGUUAUUUUAAAGUAACUGGUUUGGAUAUUUUCUCUAACACCAAUGACCAUUGGAUUCUAAAUCAACACAAUGGUCAAUGCAUUAAUUUAAACAUAAAAGAUUAAAAAGAUUGUCUCUAAAGUAUGUUCAACUUGCUAUUGAUUGGGUUUUUUUUAUGUCAGAAAAGUGCUUCCCCUCGAACCCACUACUAGUAGAUGUUAGAACUUGGAUUCGAUUGGGGCCUUCAAACUUCUCGCCGAGGUUAGGGCGUACACUCAAAAGUAGCCUGGCUACGCCACUGAUCGUAAGCUGUACACGACGUCUUUUAGACAUCGUAUGGCCAUCGUGCCAUCAUUGUAAUCCAUCGUGUAGCCUUCGUAAUCCAUUGUGUAGCCUUCGUGAUCCAUCGUGUAGGCUUCGGCUGAGAUAUGAAUUUUAAAUACCCGUCUUCGGUUAACCUUCGUAUAUCCAUCUUUUGCUAUCGUAUAUAAUUUCGGCACCAUCGUAUAGACUCCGUUAUUCAUCGUACUUGCUUCGGUCACUUUUUGGUAUUUUAACGAGAUCGGGACCAACUUCGUACGAACUUACAAUUUUCGCAUUCGGGUGUCCAUCGUAUAUAAAAAUCGGGACAGUGUGACGCGGGCAUAAGAGAAGUCGAGUCCGAUGUCAGAAUAUGAAACAAAAGAAAAUAAACAAAAUGACAAUAAUACAUAAAUAACAACAGACUACUAGCAGUUACUGACAUGCCAGCUCCAG